GAUGAACGCUAGCUACAGGCUUAACACAUGCAAGUCGAGGGGAAACGCUGAGAGAGCUUGCUCUCUUAGUCGUCGACCGGCGCACGGGUGAGUAACGCGUAUCCAACCUGCCUCUGACCAAGGGAUAACCCGUCGAAAGUCGGACUAAUACCUUAUGCAGUCGUCGGAAGUCAUCUGAUGACGACGAAAGAUUUCAUCGGUGAGAGAUGGGGAUGCGUCUGAUUAGCUUGUUGGCGGGGUAACGGCCCACCAAGGCGACGAUCAGUAGGGGUUCUGAGAGGAAGGUCCCCCACAUUGGAACUGAGACACGGUCCAAACUCCUACGGGAGGCAGCAGUGAGGAAUAGUGGUCAAUGGGCGUAAGCCUGAACCAGCCAAGUAGCGUGCAGGAUGACGGCCCUAUGGGUUGUAAACUGCUUUUAUGCGGGGAUAAAGUGAGGGACGUGUCCUUCAUUGCAGGUACCGCAUGAAUAAGAACCGGCUAAUUCCGUG
This 491-nucleotide ribosomal RNA is filed under the name uncultured bacterium. Its description in RNAcentral is "partial 16S ribosomal RNA". It matches the Rfam family "Bacterial small subunit ribosomal RNA", at positions 28 to 507 of the family's 1533-position model. The record is from RNAcentral.